ACCUGAGGGAUAGCUCAGUCAGUAGAGCAUGAGACUCUUAAUCUCAGGGUCAUGGCUUUGAGCCCCACAUUGGGCA
This is a non-coding RNA of Podarcis lilfordi (Lilford's wall lizard), 76 nucleotides long. The record is from the annotation of a GenBank genome assembly. Lineage: Eukaryota; Metazoa; Chordata; Lepidosauria; Squamata; Lacertidae.